CACCAGGCUGCCUAAACUUCUUCUGUAGGUAGCAGAGAGUGAGAGCAUGAACAAGGCAACCAAAGCCACCUGAGUUAAGACAGUCCUGAUCAGCCAGUGAAGGAACUUCUCCCUCUCUGCUGGAUAUGGCUUCCUUCUGCCCUGCCCGUGAUGUUCUGCUAUUGCCAUUUUACAGGAGAAGGCACAAUCAGUGGGUCUCUUGACCUGGCAAGAAAUUGAAGUCAGGUGGGUGACUAGAGGUGGAGGAGGGAACAUGUCUGCCUUCUGUGCAGCUUUAUUCACCAGCAAGCUUGCAUUUAACUCCAAUUUUCAAGUGUCUCACAAAAGAUUAUCACAUGGGUCCU
Long non-coding RNA from Pyrgilauda ruficollis (rufous-necked snowfinch), 344 nucleotides. RefSeq lists it as uncharacterized. The transcript has 3 exons. The record is from RefSeq and is a predicted model, not a curated record. NCBI's taxonomy places the organism in Eukaryota, Metazoa, Chordata, Aves, Passeriformes, Passeridae.